RNAcentral lists this ribosomal RNA (253 nucleotides) under uncultured bacterium. Its description in RNAcentral is "partial 16S ribosomal RNA". It matches the Rfam family "Bacterial small subunit ribosomal RNA", at positions 524 to 776 of the family's 1533-position model. The record is from RNAcentral.
UACGUAGGGUGCAAGCGUUGUCCGGAAUUAUUGGGCGUAAAGAGCUCGUAGGCGGCUUGUCGCGUCUGCUGUGAAAACUCGGGGCUUAACCCCGGGCCUGCAGUGGAUACGGGCAGACUAGAGUGCGGUAGGGGAGACUGGAAUUCCUGGUGUAGCGGUGAAAUGCGCAGAUAUCAGGAGGAACACCGGUGGCGAAGGCGGGUCUCUGGGCCGUAACUGACGCUGAGGAGCGAAAGCGUGGGGAGCGAACAGG